Carassius carassius (crucian carp) is the source of this 1585-nucleotide long non-coding RNA. RefSeq lists it as uncharacterized. The transcript is spliced from 2 exons. Lineage: Eukaryota; Metazoa; Chordata; Actinopteri; Cypriniformes; Cyprinidae. The record is from RefSeq and is a predicted model, not a curated record.
UGGGCUGUGAGAUGAGAACAGAGACACACUGAGCUUUAACCACUAACCAUCGACCAACUGCUGAGUGACGAGAAAAUAUCAUUAGCUUCUGAGAGACGAAGACAAACUGAACCACAGUGAACUGAACUGAAGACAGCGACUGUAACACAUUUCAGUUUCAUUCAGCAACAUGAACAGUGAAAAUCAGACCUUGAUGGAUGAACACAGUGAUAAUUCUACUGAUUAUUAUGGCAACAGUGUCCCUAAUAACACUCUAUAUAGUUCUUCAGAAAUCAUAAUGUUUAUCUUCCUCAUCGCUAGUGUUUGUGUGGGUCUUCCAGCUCUGGUUUGGGCUUUUCGUCUUCUGCACCUUCACAGAAAGAUCAGAGGCCGAAUCUCAGUCUUCAUCCUCCUCCUCCUCCUCAAUGACCUGAUACAAUUACCCCUUCAUCUAUAUAUAGUGACGGGGAUUCUGACAAAAUUCAGAUCCUUUAUUCUUGAGCUUGGACAGUUUUGGUUUGGAUUACAUUGGUGUGGUUUUCAUCUGCAUCAGCUGGUGGCUCUGGAGGGGAUUUUGACUCUGAAAUAUCCGCUUUGUUCUGCUCGUAUUUUCUCACUGCCCUCUUACAUCAUAAUCUCCAUCCUUGUGCUUUUUUUUUCUAUAGUGAGUGCAUUAUUUCUUUUCAAGCAUUCACAAAAUACAAACAUGUCAUUAUUCAGUCUCAGCACAAGUGUUGUUCCUCUGAUCUUAUUGGCUGUAUCAUCUACAAUCAGCUGUAAAGCCUCUUCCACUCCUGUCAGAAAAAACAGUUCAGUGCUCACUGUUGCUAUUCUUACAUUUGUUAUGAUGUACUUACCUUUCAUGUUCCUCAUCUGGGUGGAUUUCUUUCAUUUAUAUCCAUAUGUCAACCUGUCUUGGUUCAUAAUGUCUUACUGUUUGAGGAAUUUGAGAGUGAUUUCAGAUCCUAUUCUGUGUGUUUUGGUCUGCAGAGAAAAUCUCAGAGAUGUUCAGACGCCACAAACACACACAGAACCCAACGCUGAUGAGACGUCAAUCUGAACUUGAGAUUCAUUAGUCUGCUCUGAAUUUGGCUUCAAAACAAAACAUAAAAUGACCUGUAAAAUGAAAAGGAAUUAACAAAAUAAAUAUUAUAUGACUUAAAGAUUGAUUAAUUUGAAAAGUCUGUGAUUGCUAAAAGUGAAAGUGUGCUCUCUAUGCCACAAACAGCACAAGCUGAGUUUCCAUCUCUUUACUGAUCAUUUUGACAGUUUGUUUAAUAUUGUAAUAUAUGAAUAAUAUGUAAAAAAGUAAAAUCGAAAUGGUCAUGUUUGUUGUUAAUGAUUGAUUUCAAUAUUCAGCAAUUGAAAGAAUUGUACAGGGCUUCCCCUAUAAAAAAGUGUAACAUUCAAUGUGAUUUCAGCAGUUAAUCAUCCAUAUAUUAGAAUAAAACAUCUAACACAAUGCAGUUCUGCCCAGCAAAUGAUGAGCACAGAGAUCAUUAACAAUUGGACCUGAAAUGGUAUCAGAACUACAAAUAUAUGAACAUCUUCCUCAAAUGAACACAUUACAGUCCAUAGACAUUGUUUUUAAAGAACACAAUAAAAA